GAGAGUUCAAGAGUACGUGAAACCGCUUAGUAGUAAACGGAGGGACUCUCGAAGUCGGCGGUGACGGUUCAGGGUGACGGCGGGGCGGCCUGGGGGCGUGGGAUCCGCAAGGACCCUGUCCCUUUGUUGGCUCUGUCGGCGCCUGCACUUCGUUGCCGCCAUACGCGACGAACCGUUUCUGACGGACCGAGGGCGUGGGUGAAGUUUGCGGCCUUCGGGCUUCAAGCCCCGCGUUCCUGGCUCUGUCGGGGACGGGUAGUGGAGCGAUCUCUUAUAGAGAGUGCCCUUGCUGGCACGGUUCGCAUCUCUGUCGCGAGUAGGUCGGCGGUCCCUCCGACCCGUCUUGAAACACGG
Molecule: ribosomal RNA, 354 nt
Filed under: Oithona plumifera
Lineage: Eukaryota; Metazoa; Arthropoda; Copepoda; Cyclopoida; Oithonidae
Description: partial 28S ribosomal RNA
Source: RNAcentral